UUCGCAAUGCCCGAAAGGGUGACGAAGCGACGCCGCGUGGGUGAGGAAGGCCUUCGGGUUGUAAAACCCUGUCAGGAGUUAAGAAAUGUAAGUGCGCUAAUAUCGCAUUUAUUUGACGAAGGCUCCAAAGGAAGCCACGGCUAACUCUGUGCCAGCAGCCGCGGUAAUACAGAGGUGGCAAGCGUUGUUCGGAAUUAUUGGGCGUAAAGAGCACGUAGGUGGAUUUGUAAGUCAGAUGUGAAAGCCUUCUGUUCAACGGAAGAAUUGCAUCUGAAACUACAAACCUUGAGUGUAGGAGGGGAGAAUGGAACUUCUGGUGGAGCGGUGAAAUGCGUAGAUAUCAGAAGGAACGCCGGCGGCGAAAGCGAUUCUCUGGCCUAUUACUGACACUGAGUGUGCGAAAGCUAGGGGAGCAAACGGGAUUAGAUACCCCGGUAGUCCUAGCCGUAAACGAUGGGCACUAAGUAGA
Molecule: ribosomal RNA, 469 nt
Filed under: uncultured anaerobic ammonium-oxidizing bacterium
Lineage: Bacteria
Description: bacterial SSU rRNA
Rfam family: Bacterial small subunit ribosomal RNA
Source: RNAcentral